CAUGCCCCUUAUACGCUGGGCUACACACGUGCUACAAUGGGUAGUACAGAGAGUCGCAAAGCCGUGAGGUGGAGCUAAUCUCAGAAAACUAUUCUUAGUUCGGAUUGUACUCUGCAACUCGAGUACAUGAAGUUGGAAUCGCUAGUAAUCGCGAAUCAGCAAUGUCGCGGUGAAUACGUUCUCGGGUCUUGUACACACCGCCCGUCACACCACGAGAGUUGGUUGCACCUGAAGUAGCAGGCCUAACCGUAAGGAGGGAUGCUCCGAGGGUGUGAUUAGCGAUUGGGGUGAAGUCGUAACAAGGUAUCCGUACGGGAACGUGCGGAUGGAUCACCUCCUUUCUAAGGAGAAUAAGUCUUUCUCUAUUCUAUUGGUAAUGUUCUUUACAUUACUUCUGAACAUUGGAAACUAUAUAGUAGAACAAACAAGAAAACAAAAUUAACUCUAACAAUUUCUUAGAGUUAGCUGUCAAAAAAAAAUAGGUUAAAAUAAUUAAGGGCACACAAAGGAUGCCUUGGUAGUAAGAGCCGAUGAAGGACGUGGUAAGCUGCGAUAAGCCU
This 560-nucleotide small RNA is filed under the name uncultured Fusobacterium sp. Its description in RNAcentral is "bacterial SSU rRNA". The stretch from base 1 to 341 matches the Rfam family "Bacterial small subunit ribosomal RNA", at positions 1194 to 1533 of the family's 1533-position model. Lineage: Bacteria; Fusobacteriati; Fusobacteriota; Fusobacteriia; Fusobacteriales; Fusobacteriaceae. The record is from RNAcentral.